GCCUACGGGGGGCAGCAGUAGGGAAUCUUCCACAAUGGGCGAAAGCCUGAUGGAGCAACGCCGCGUGGGUGAAGAAGGUCUUCGGAUCGUAAAACCCUGUUGUUAGAGAAGAAAGUGCGUGAGAGUAACUGUUCACGUUUCGACGGUAUCUAACCAGAAAGCCACGGCUAACUACGUGCCAGCAGCCGCGGUAAUACGUAGGUGGCAAGCGUUAUCCGGAUUUAUUGGGCGUAAAGGGAACGCAGGCGGUCUUUUAAGUCUGAUGUGAAAGCCUCCGGCUUAACCGGAGUAGUGCAUGGGAAACU
RNAcentral lists this ribosomal RNA (305 nucleotides) under uncultured bacterium. Its description in RNAcentral is "bacterial SSU rRNA". It matches the Rfam family "Bacterial small subunit ribosomal RNA", at positions 337 to 634 of the family's 1533-position model. The record is from RNAcentral.